UGCUCAGGACGAACGCUGGCUGCGUGCUUAACACAUGCAAGUCGAACGCUGAAGCCGACAGCUUGCUGUUGGUGGAUGAGUGGCGAACGGGUGAGUAACACGUGAGUAACCUGCCCCUGAUUUCGGGAUAAGCCUGGGAAACCGGGUCUAAUACCGGAUACGACCACCUGACGCAUGUNGGGUGGUGGAAAGUUUUUCGAUCGGGGAUGGGCUCGCGGCCUAUCAGCUUGUUGGUGGGGUAAUGGCCCACCAAGGCGACGACGGGUAGCCGGCCUGAGAGGGCGACCGGCCACACUGGGACUGAGACACGGCCCAGACUCCUACGGGAGGCAGCAGUGGGGAAUAUUGCACAAUGGGGGAAACCCUGAUGCAGCGACGCAGCGUGCGGGAUGACGGCCUUCGGGUUGUAAACCGCUUUCAGCAGGGAAGAAGCGAAAGUGCGGUACCUG
This 449-nucleotide ribosomal RNA is filed under the name marine bacterium 13689. RNAcentral describes it as "bacterial SSU rRNA". It matches the Rfam family "Bacterial small subunit ribosomal RNA", at positions 21 to 481 of the family's 1533-position model. The record is from RNAcentral. Lineage: Bacteria; Bacillati; Actinomycetota; Actinomycetes; Micrococcales; Brevibacteriaceae.